RNAcentral lists this long non-coding RNA (560 nucleotides) under Monodelphis domestica (gray short-tailed opossum). RNAcentral describes it as "lncRNA (ENSMODG00000031307.2)". Lineage: Eukaryota; Metazoa; Chordata; Mammalia; Didelphimorphia; Didelphidae. The record is from RNAcentral.
GAGCCAGGCCCGUGAAGCCAAGGACAUAGAGUGAUUUGCUUAGUCACAAAGGCUGUUAAACAUCAGAAGUAAUAUGUUCCUUCCUCUGUGGAUGCCAGUCUAUAUUUCUCAAAGCCUGAGUUCAAGGUCUUUGAAUUAUUGAGGAUUUGCAGGUCAGAUUGCGAGAACUCCACAAAUCUGGAGCUGUGGUACAAACAGGACCUCUAGACUUCUCACUCCAUGACCUACACCCAGGAGACAAAGUAUAUGUAAAGAACUUCCAGCAUGCUGGAGCAACUAGGCCUGCCUGGAAAGGUCCAUUCCAAGUACUGUUAUCCACUCCUAUAGCUAUUAAAAUUGGAGAAAAGGAUUCCUGGAUACAUUGCUGCCAUGUAAAACAGGUACCUUCUAUUGAUAUUGACUGAUUGUAUCUUGUCACAUUUGUUGUAUUUCCUAAUUAUUUUAAGAUUUGAUUUUGGUUUUGUAUUCACAUAUCAAUCUAAUCUAUCAUAUUCCAUGUUACUAUGUCACCCUCAAUUACUAUAUUUUGGCUAUUAGCUAUAUGUCCUGUUACACUGUCU